CUAGCUGUAAACGAUGGAUACUAGGCGUUGAGAGUAUCGACCCUCUCAGUGUCGUAGCUAACGCGUUAAGUAUCCCGCCUGGGGAGUACGCGCGCAAGCGUGAAACUCAAAGGAAUUGACGGGGGCCCGCACAAGCGGUGGAGUAUGUGGUUUAAUUCGAUGCAACGCGAAGAACCUUACCAGGGCUCGACAUGUCCGGAACCCUGCCCAAAGGCGGGGGUGCCUACGGGAACCGGAACACAGGUGGUGC
This 250-nucleotide ribosomal RNA is filed under the name uncultured Chroococcidiopsis sp. RNAcentral describes it as "partial 16S ribosomal RNA". It matches the Rfam family "Bacterial small subunit ribosomal RNA", at positions 796 to 1044 of the family's 1533-position model. Lineage: Bacteria; Bacillati; Cyanobacteriota; Cyanophyceae; Chroococcidiopsidales; Chroococcidiopsidaceae. The record is from RNAcentral.